AGAGUUUGAUCAUGGCUCAGGAUGAACGCUAGCGGCAGGCUUAACACAUGCAAGUCGAGGGGCAGCAUAAUGGAUAGCAAUAUCUAUGGUGGCGACCGGCGCACGGGUGCGUAACGCGUAUGCAACCUACCUUUAACAGGGGGAUAACACUGAGAAAUUGGUACUAAUACCCCAUAAUAUCAUAGAAGGCAUCUUUUAUGGUUGAAAAUUCCGAUGGUUAGAGAUGGGCAUGCGUUGUAUUAGCUAGUUGGUGGGGUAACGGCUCACCAAGGCGACGAUACAUAGGGGGGACUGAGAGGUUAACCCCCCCANACUGGUACUGAGACACGGACCAGACUCCUACGGGAGGCA
Molecule: ribosomal RNA, 351 nt
Filed under: uncultured bacterium
Lineage: Bacteria
Description: bacterial SSU rRNA
Rfam family: Bacterial small subunit ribosomal RNA
Source: RNAcentral